AUCUCUCUGGAGAGUCCCCGGCAUGGGGCGCCGAAGGUGUACGGCAGAAAAGAGCUGCCAAUCUCUCAGGCAAAAGGACAGGGU
This 84-nucleotide non-coding RNA is filed under the name uncultured Lachnoclostridium sp. RNAcentral's name for it is "Glycine riboswitch". It matches the Rfam family "Glycine riboswitch aptamer", at positions 9 to 86 of the family's 94-position model. From Rfam's summary of the family: This family represents the bacterial glycine riboswitch. Glycine riboswitches usually consist of two metabolite-binding aptamers domains with similar structures in tandem. The record is from RNAcentral. Lineage: Bacteria; Bacillati; Bacillota; Clostridia; Lachnospirales; Lachnospiraceae.